RNAcentral lists this transfer RNA (82 nucleotides) under Candida gigantensis. RNAcentral describes it as "tRNA-Ser". The record is from RNAcentral. Lineage: Eukaryota; Fungi; Ascomycota; Pichiomycetes; Serinales; Debaryomycetaceae.
GGAUGCAUGACUGAGUGGCUUAAGGUGUGGUAUUUGAGCUACCAAGGCUCAUCGCCCACGUGUUCGAAUCACGUUGCAUCCG